Molecule: ribosomal RNA, 229 nt
Filed under: uncultured bacterium
Lineage: Bacteria
Description: partial 16S ribosomal RNA
Rfam family: Bacterial small subunit ribosomal RNA
Source: RNAcentral
GAGUGGCGCACGGGUGAGUAACACGUGGGAAUAUACUUCUUAGUAUGGAAUAACUUUUGGAAACGAAAGCUAAUACCAUAUAGUCCCUCCGGGGUAAAGAUUUAUCGCUAAGAAAUUAGCCCGCGUUAGAUUAGCUUGUUGGUGAGGUAAUGGCUCACCAAGGCAACGAUCUAUAGCUGGUUUGAGAGGAUGAUCAGCCACACUGGAACUGAGACACGGUCCAGACUCC